CACGUGGGUAACCAACCCUAUAGUCUGGGACAACUCAGGGAAACUUGGGCUAAUACCGGAUGUGCUAUUUGGGACUUCGGUUCUGAAUAGGAAAGGAGCAAUCCGCUAUAGGACGGGCUCGCGGCCCAUCAGCUAGUUGGCGAGGUAUGGCUCACCAAGGCAAAGACGGGUAGCUGGUCUGAGAGGAUGAUCAGCCACACUGGAACUGAGACACGGUCCAGACUCCUACGGGAGGCAGCAGUGGGGAAUAUUGCGCAAUGGGGGAAACCCUGACGCAGCCACGCCGCGUGAGAUGAAGGUUUUAGGAUCGUAAAGCUCUGUGGAGGGAGAAGAAACCUGACGGUAUCCCUUUAGCAAGCACCGGCUAACUCCGUGCCAGCAGCCGCGGUAAUACGGAGGGUGCAAACGUUGCUCGGAAUUACUGGGCGUAAAGCGCGCGUAGGGGCUUUGUAAGUCGGAUGUGAAAUCCCCGGGCUUAACCUGGGAACUGCAUUCGAUACUGCAGAACUAGAGUAUGGUAGAGGGAAGUGGAAUUUCCGGUGUAGCGGUGAAAUGCGUAGAUAUCGGAAGGAACACCAGUGGCGAAGGGACUUCCUGGGCCAAUACUGACGCUGAGGUGCGAAAGGUGGGGAGCAAACAGGAUUAGAUACCCUGGUAGUCCACGCCGUAAACGAUGAGAACUAGAUGUCGGGGGAAUUUGUCCUUCGGUGUCGCAGCUAACGCGUUAGGUUCUCCGCCUGGGGAGUACGCCGGCAACGUAAAACUCAAAGGAAUUGACGGGGACCCGCACAAGC
RNAcentral lists this ribosomal RNA (794 nucleotides) under uncultured bacterium. RNAcentral's name for it is "bacterial SSU rRNA". It matches the Rfam family "Bacterial small subunit ribosomal RNA", at positions 114 to 930 of the family's 1533-position model. The record is from RNAcentral.